UUCAUCUUCAUCUUCCGACUUGAUACAGAGCGGGUGUAGGAUCUGAGUUUGUUCUUCAUCUAGGGUUUUGAUGAUGAGUGCAAUUCUGUGACGGGCUUGCCUUUCAUCUUUUCACUCCAAACCCUAAACAACUCUCCAUCAUCUCUCAGGCUCCUUCAACAACGCCGAUUUUCUUCGAAGGUGAGUUUCUACUUCCAACAAUCUUCACCACAACAUUUGAUUUUGUAAUAUGCAUCUUCUCCUUCUUAAGAAUCUUUGGUACGAUUUAAUGUUUUCAACUUCAUCGGCUGUGAUGAACAUAUCCGGUUAUUAUGCUUCUGUGCCGUCCGCCGAUAUGAAGUAAACCUUAUCCAAACGCAGAUAAUAGAUAU
RNAcentral lists this long non-coding RNA (371 nucleotides) under Helianthus annuus (common sunflower). RNAcentral describes it as "hypothetical non coding rna". Lineage: Eukaryota; Viridiplantae; Streptophyta; Magnoliopsida; Asterales; Asteraceae. The record is from RNAcentral.